RNAcentral lists this non-coding RNA (29 nucleotides) under Mus musculus (house mouse). The record is from RNAcentral. Lineage: Eukaryota; Metazoa; Chordata; Mammalia; Rodentia; Muridae.
UAAAAAUUUAUUGACUCCUAAUCUCAGAA